This 275-nucleotide ribosomal RNA is filed under the name uncultured prokaryote. RNAcentral's name for it is "partial 16S ribosomal RNA". It matches the Rfam family "Archaeal small subunit ribosomal RNA", at positions 474 to 747 of the family's 1478-position model. The record is from RNAcentral.
CACCGGCAGCUCUAGUGGUAGCAACUUUUAUUGGGCCCUAAAGCGUCCGUAGCCGGUUUAAUAAGUCUCUGGUGAAAUCCUGUAGCUUAACUGUGGGAAUUGCUGGAGAUACUAUUAGACUUGAGACCGGGAGAGGUUAGAGGUACUCCCAGGGUAGAGGUGAAAUUCUGUAAUCCUGGGAGGACCGCCUGUUGCGAAGGCGUCUAACUGGAACGGUUCUGACGGUGAGGGACGAAAGUUAGGGGCGCGAACCGGAUUAGAUACCCCGGUAGUCC